This is an RNA transcript of Fragaria vesca subsp. vesca, 3770 nucleotides long. It is a transcript of the gene named G-type lectin S-receptor-like serine/threonine-protein kinase At4g27290-like, with no coding region annotated. The record is from RefSeq and is a predicted model, not a curated record. The transcript has 10 exons. NCBI's taxonomy places the organism in Eukaryota, Viridiplantae, Streptophyta, Magnoliopsida, Rosales, Rosaceae.
AUGGAAAUCUUUCCAAUGCUGUUUGUUAUCUCAGCAUUUCUCUUCUCCAUUCUAAGCACCUCCACUACCGGUAUACAAGACAUCACUACCAUUAGUCUAAGAGUAUCAAUCAAAGAUGGAGGGAGUACCUUAGUUUCAGCUGGAGGAAGUUUCGAGUUGGGAUUCUUUAGCCCUGGUAGUUCAAAGAGCCGAUAUGUGGGAAUAUGGUACAAGGACAUAUCUCCUCAGAAACUUGUAUGGGUGUGCAACAAAGAAACUCCCCUUACUGAUCACUCAGGGGCUUUGAAUCUCACUAGCCAAGGAGUUCUUGUUUUGUUCACUGGCAAACAUAGUAUUGUCUGGUCAUCAUCCAACAAGACCUCAAGCACAAGUAACCCAGUUGCUCAACUCUUGGACUCGGGCAACUUUGUUGUGAAAGAUGGAUCAAAUGAGGACUCGAAGAUUCUGUGGCAGAGCUUUGAUUAUCCAAGUGACACCUUACUACCAGGAAUGAAGAUCGGAUGGGACUUAAAAUCCGGCCUAAACAGGUUUCUGUCGUCUUGGAAAGGAGCAGAAGAUCCUGCUCCAGGACAGUUUUCAUUUUCUAUCGAUCGUAGUGGGUAUCCCCAACUAGUUCUUAUGAAUGGUUCCAUACCACAUUUUAGGUUGGGGUCAUGGAAUGGCCUUGGCUUCACAGGAAGUCCUCAACUUAGAUCUCAGAACCAAUUCUUCAAACUCGACUUUGUGUCGAAUGAGAAUGAAGUCUACUACAAAUAUGAGCUCCUGAGCACUUCAGUUGAAUCAAGACUAGUGCUCAACAGGUCAGGUGACUUGCAACGCUUCAUGUGGAGUGGCACAACAAAUAUCAAUCGUGUCAUUUACUCGGCUCCCGUAGAUCACUGUGACGCUUAUAAUUUCUGUGGUGCAUUUGCUCUCUGCAGUAUUGAUUCUCCUCAUUUAUGUGCAUGCUUACAGGGUUUUGCACCAAAUUCUCUGCAGAAAUCUUGUCAUCGGAAAACUCCAUUGAGUUGCAAUGAGUACAAAGAUGGUUUUAAGAAAUUCACAAGGGUGAAAUUGCCAGACACAACUUUGUCCUGGUUUGACUUGACAAUGACCCUUGGGGAAUGUGAGCAAACUUGUUUGAAGAACUGCUCUUGCACUGCUUAUGCAAAUUCGGAUGCAAGGGAAGGAGGAACUGGCUGUUUGCUCUGGUUUGGUGAACUCAAUGACAUACACGAAUUCGAUACUGGUGGGCAAGACCUAUUUGUAAAACUGGGUGACAUAAAGACAAACAAGAGAUCUAGCAUGAAGAAGCAGGUGGCUAUAAUAGUCAGCUUUGGGUUAUUUGUCAUGGGAGUGCUUAUACUAGGGUUGGUUUUCUACAUACGGAAGAAGAAAUCAAGAGUAAAUAAGAAGUACAUCCAUGGAAACAUUGAAGGUGGUAAUGACGAUAUGGAGUUGCUAAAAUUUGAUUUGUGCACCAUAUCUAGAGCAACAGAUGACUUCUCGGACAAUUAUAAACUGGGAGAAGGUGGUUUUGGACCAGUAUACAAGGGCACGUUGAAAGAAGGGGAAGACAUGGCAGUGAAAAGGCUUUCGAAAUGUUCUGGACAAGGAAUAAAAGAAUUCAUGAAUGAAGUAAUGUUGAUUGCCAAACUCCAGCACAGAAAUCUUGUGAAGCUUCUUGGUUGCUGCGUUGAAGGAGAUGAAAAAAUGUUAAUUUAUGAAUACAUGCCUAACAGAAGCUUGGACUACUUCAUAUUUGAAGACACAAGAAAAAAAGUGCUUGGUUGGGCUCAACGCAGCAACAUUAUCGGAGGAAUAGCUCGAGGCCUUCUCUAUCUUCAUCAAGAUUCUAGACUGAGGAUCAUCCACAGAGAUCUUAAAACUGGUAAUGUUUUACUAGAUAAAGAUAUGAACCCAAAAAUAUCUGAUUUUGGGACGGCCAGAGCAUUCGGAGGAGAUCAAACUGAGGAAAAUACUAAAACAGUGGUUGGAACAUAUGGUUAUAUGUCACCUGAGUACAUGGUUGAUGGGCUCUUCUCUAUCAAAUCUGAUGUCUAUAGCUUUGGUGUCAUGGUAUUGGAAAUAGUCAGUGGGAAAAAGAACAGGGGAUAUAUUCAUCCAGACCACCAACUUAACCUUCUAGGACAUGCUUGGACUCUAUGGACUGAAGGAAGACCACUGGAAGUAAUAGAUAAGCAGUUGGGUCAGUCUUGUGCUCUAUCAGAAGUGUCCCGAUGUAUUCACAUAGCUCUCUUAUGUAUGCAACAACAACCAGAAGAUAGGCCACACAUGGCAACUGUGGUCUUAAUGUUGGGCGGAGAGGGUUCACUGCCUGUGCCGAAGCAACCUGGUUUCUUUACUGAAAGGAAUCCGUUUGAAGCAGAGAACUCAUCAUCAAGCAAAUUGGAAUCACAUUCGAUAAAUGACAUGAGUAUAACAGAGUUAGAGUGUUGCUUGAUUAGAUUGAGCGCAAAGACAAUUUAUCCCUCGCAGUCUAUCCGUGAUGAUGGCAGCACCUUGGUUUCAAGUGAUGGAAGCUUUGAGCUGGGGUUCUUCAGUCCAGGUAACUCGAAAAGUCGUUACUUGGGAAUUUGAUACAAAAACAUUCCAGUCAAAACUGUUGUUUGGGUUUCGAAUCGAUGCAACCCGGUUAUUGACUCGUUCGGUGUGUUGAUGAUAAACAGCACCGGAUAUCUUGUGCUGUUGGGUCAGAAUAAGAGUGUUUGGUGGACAAUUUUAGCUAAGUAUGCAGAAAGUGUAAUGGUACAGCUAUUAUAUUCUGGAAAUUAAGUAGUAAGAGAUGUGACAGGUGGAAAGUCAUUGUGGCAAAGUUUCGAUUAUCCUUCUGAUACAUUGUUACCGGAAAUGAAGUUGGGAUGGGACUUCAGGACAUAUCUUAAAAGGGAAAUAUCAGCAUGGAAGAAUUCAGAAGAUCCAUGUCCAGGAGAAUUCACUUAUGGGAUUGAAAUGGAACCUCAUGCAUACCCUGAAGCAUAUUUUCGGAAAGAUGGUGUGAAAUAUUAUCGUUCUGGCCCAUGGAAUGGCUUAAGAUUCAGUGGUGCUCCAGCACUAAGACCUAAUCCGAUUUAUAGUUUCAACUUUGUGUAUAAUGAUGAUGAAGUGUACUACAUGUACAAACUUCAGAACAAGUCUGUAAUUUCGAUAAUGGUAUUAAAUGGAACCACGAGUACACGCGAUCGUGUUACAUGGAUUGAAGCAGAGAAAACUUGGAAGGCCUAUGCAUCAGUACCUAGAGAUUUCUGUGAUCGAUAUGGCCUUUGUGGACCAAAUGUGAAUUGUAUCAUCAGUAACAAUCCAGUAUGUCAAUGUCUACAAGGAUUUGAGCCGAAGUCACCAGAGAAAUGGAAUUUGACAGACUGGUCACUUGGAUGUGUGCGUAACAAACCCUGAGCUGCCAGGAAAGUGAUAAAGAUGAGUUUGUCAAGUUCACUAACUUGAAAUUGCCAGAUACUACAUACUCUUGGGUGAACAGAAGUAUGAACAUCAGGGAAUGCAGAGCCAAAUGCUUGAACAACUGUACCUGCAUGACUUAUACAAGCUCGGAUAUCAGCCAAGGAGGUUCUGGCUGAGCGAUCUGGUUUGGUGAUCUACUAGACAUCAGAAAGUUUCCGGAUGCUGGCCAAGAUCUAUAUAUUCGAAUGUCAGCUUCAGAGAUAGAUGAUGGUAAAGUGAAGACAGGAAUUAUAGUUGCUGCUGUGAUAGCUGCAGUGUUUUCAGGAAUGCUCUUCGUUGGCCACUACUUCCACCGAAGCAGGACCAAUUAA